GGAGGGAGGACCGGAGGGCGGUGCUGGGGGCGGGGAGGACCCGGGGCAGGGGCGGGGCUGGGGUCGGGAGGUUCGGGGGAGGGAGGAGGGGCAGAUGGGGAUGGGGCAGGACGAGGGGGCGGUGCUGGGGCGGUGCUGGGGCGGUGCUGGGGCGGGGCGGGCCUGCUCCGGGGGCCUCGGGGGCCGCGGCGUCCCGGGCAGGGUGGGCGGAAUCGGAGGCGCCCCCCGCAGACUGGACCCGGGUUGCCGGAGACACGCGGUGCGGAUUCCUCUGCGAUUUCAGACCUCAGGGCCUGGCAGACCCGACCGACAUCUGACUCCUGUUUUUAACGUUCUCCGCUACAUUUCAAGGCCGAACCCCAUAUGCAGAUGAGAAGCCCGUAGUCCCCGCUCCCGCUCCCCCCGCAAACCAGGGCCCAGGGCCUGGAGCCCCGCGCGGAGCCGGGGUGCCCCCACCGGCGAGCAAGGCCCGGGAGACGGGGCGCCCACCGGCCUGGGCUUCCUGGGAGAAUCUGGGCGGCUCCGGUUCUGACCGGCUUCUUCUCGGUCCGCAUCCCAGGACAGUGUCCUGGGAUUCCAGCUGCUUCUCCUGCCCGGGAGGGCCUCGGAAAUUUGCCAAAACUGCGGGGUUUGAAUUUUGCUCUGGCGACGUGGCUAGGGGAGACUUCAGAGGUGACGUUUUGGGGCGUCCUCGCACUGGGUCCCCCGACGGUCUGGAGCGGGCUGGGGGGUGCGACAGGGGGUCUCCCGCAGGCCCAGGAGGAGGCGCCGUUCCGGACUCACGCGCUUUCCUACUAGCAGCAGUGCUGGCCUCGUCGGGCGAGGCGGGAUUAGCGGCUCUGCGUUCCCCUGCGCGUCCUCAGGGCCGUUGGGAACUAACUUGGGACCUUCCCAUCGGUGUUUCUGGAACGUUUCGUCGAGUGCCGCCCAGGAGCCUGGAAAGCCGCGUGUGGAACUGACCGGUCCCUAAGUGGGGACCCCCGCCUCUGCCUUUCACGCUUCUCCAGCGCCCCCUGCGAGACCGUGGGGUUCAGUGCUCGGGGGCAGAACCCAGACCUGCUUCCUCCCUUCUUAGUCGGCUGGUUCUGAGAACUCGAGCUUUCAGCCCAGCUCUGCAGCCCUGGCCUUGGGUAACGCCCAGCGUCCCUCUGAAAGAUCGCACAGCCCCCUACUCUGCGCUCUGACCUUGCUGGGAUGUUUACACUUAAACCGGGAGACAGGCCAUAGCCUCCUGCCCCUCAGCAAGCAGGUACCUCACAACCAGGACUGGCAGGUGGCCUUCGAACCCCAUCUGGGCUCCUCUCCCCUACUCAAUGGCUCCCUGAACCCCUCCAGUUCUGACUGAACCCCAUUUUCUACAUUGUGUCGCUUGUACUUUCUGGAGCAACGGACACAGUCCUGCUCCCCACGUCCCAGCACCUGGGGUCCUGUACCCUAACAGCCCUACACCACCCAGCUUCUGUUCCAACCCUAGGCCUGGGAGCCUCACGGCCCCCCUUUUCCCUAAUUCCUGCCCUCUACCCACGGAGAUGGGGUUCUAACCUCCCUUCCCCACCACUGCCGUGGAAAGCAUCGUAGCAGGAGGCAAGACCGGGGACCAUGGGCUCCGGAGCCUGAGUGUGAUGGUGGGACCGCCACCAAGUGUAUUUUUGGGCCAGAUGUAGGGAGAAUGUGGGAGCAAGUCAGAUAAGAGUGGAGAGGAGAGAUACAGAGAGGCCAGCGCCCCAGGCUCUGAGGAGGGUGGGCAGACAGAGGGAGGCAGCUGGAAAGGCCUUCUGCUCCAGCCCAGGCCUGUACACGCCCCACCUAAACAGCUCCCACCUGGGACCGUGUCUACAGGUGCCGCCAUUCACCAAGCACCGGACAGGUGCCUGAGCAUCCGCACACAAACUCCCUUUCUGCGAAGCCACCAGCAGGGUCAGCCAUGAUGUAAAAGCCAGAGGCACACCCACCUGAGCCUGAGUGUGAUCGCAACCACAGCUGGCCCAGGACAGCACUUCCUGGGGAGGCUUUGUGGUGCUGGAGCGCUGGGUCCGCUCACCCUGCAGUCCAGGGACUCAGAAUCAUCACCCAGGGGGACCCAGCUCCCCUGCAGGAGGCCCCCUUCAGUCUGAGGGGCCUCAAGUUUCUGCACCCACGAUGCACCUCCUCCCUUCAGGAAUUCAGCUGUCUUGUCGCUUUUUUUUGGUUUUUUUGAGACAGAGUUUUGCUCUUGUUGCUCAGGUUGGAGUGCAAUCGUGUAAUCUCAGCUCACCACAACCUCUGCCUCCCAGGUUCAAGUGAUUCUCCUGCUUCAGCCUCCUGAGUAGCUGGGAUUACAGGUGGGCACCACCAUGCCUGGCUAAUUUUGUAUUUUUAGCAGAGACGAAGUUUCUCCAUGUUGGUUACUCUGGUCUCAAACUCCCGACCUCAGGUGAUCCGCCUGCCUCGGCCUCCCAAAUUUCUGGGAUUACAGGCGUGAGCCACGGUGCCCGACCCUUGCUCUUCUGUAGAAGCUGCUGCCCUUUGGAAGUUAGAAGGGCUUCAGGAGUACUUCAGUUCUGGGGUGCCCAUCAAGAUGGGAUGAACUUACUUUUGUCCUUACUUGUGUCACGAAUGACUGAUUUAAUCACACCCAUGGCAGAUUGAUCCCCGGAGAGACGAGGCUGGGGACUACCGCCUGAUGACUGACCUGAGGAUCUGACCCCUGCACACUCUGUGGGCAUCUCCAGCUUGAGGCACACCCACCCACAGGUAUCCCGGAGCCCCCGCCAGCCUCCCAGAAGGUCUGCAGAGGGGCCUGCCAGCCCUGCAGCCCUUGGGCCUGAGCACAGAGCAUCCAGGGCUGCCUGUCUCCCUGCACGCCUCUCUGGACUGAAUGUGGACUCUGGUAACAGCUCCAUCUGCGAGUCCCCAGUUCCCGGGACAGCUCCAGUUAUUCACUGUGCAACAGAUUGCCCCAGCGUUGUGGGUGGAACAACAGUGCUCCUCAUUGUGCUCUUCCCAGGUUCUGGGUGGCCUGGCACCUCCAGGCGGCCCUCAGGGUCUCUCCAUCAUGGUCACACCCCUGGGGCCAGGGGGGAUCUGAGGGCUGCUCAUGAUGCACCUGGGGUCCAUCGCUGGGUGGCCCACCCACGCUUGUCUGCAGUGCCUGCAUACUACCUGGAGGCUGGGCUUGGAGAGCUGGUGUCCUGGAUAGACAAGAGGAAACUGUGUCGCCACGUUGCUUCUGCCAAGUCACAGCCGCCGAGAGUCAGGGGCAAAACAUAGACCCCUCUCCUCCACAUAGGAGCCAGUCACAACUUAGGAGGAGUGGUGCUGCCAGGAGCACUUCGAAACAUAGGACCUGUGACUCCUAAACAUGGCAGGCGCCCACCCAGGGCCUGCUGGAUUCAUGGGCAAAUGUGAGGAAAAAUGAGCUGGGGUCUGUGUGAUGUCACCCUCCAAGACAUGCCAGAAAGUUCUGACGCGUCGGAUGAAUGGGGACUAAUGGGGACUGACAGAGACGACUGGUGGAAGCUGAUGUUAACUAAUGGGGACUGACAGAGACUGAUGAGGACUGGUGGGAGCUGAUGGGGACUAAUGAGGACUGAUAGACUGAGGGUGUCUGAUGGGGGGGGCCUGCCACCCUUGGGAACUGAUGGGGUCUGAUGGGUCUGAUCGAGAUGAUGGGAUCUGUUGGGGAUGUUGGGUCCUGAUGGGGAUGUUGGGGUCUGAUGGAGACUAAUGGGGGAUGAUGGGGACUGAUGGGGAUGUUGGGGUCUGAUGGGUCUGAUGGAAUCUGAUGGGAUCUGAUGGGUCUGAUGGGGAUGUUGGGGUCUGAUAGAGACUAAUGGGGGAUGAUGGGGAUGAUGGGGACUGAUGGGGCUGGGCCAAGGACUGUGGCCCACAUUUUCAUGUUGAAGAGCCUGAUGUGGUCUGAUUUAUGCUUUUAAAAAGUAUUUCCCCAGUUAUUCUGUAGCUUGCAGUCUGACAAGAACAGAGGCAGGGUUCAUUGAGGAGGGUUAGAGAAGACAGUGGCCUGGAGUAGAGCAGCUGGGGAGGAGGAGUCGCCCCUGGAUUUUGUGCUGAGCAGGGGGCAGCAGGAACUGCUUCCAGUGGAUUGUCCAGGUUUGUUAAUUGCUUUCAUUCUUCUCUACUUCAUCGACCCUGGGAAAGAAGGAAGUAUACAUCGGGAAGCCUUAAUUCAGACUAUUUUUACUGUUGAAAAGUAAUGGCUUUCUCUAGAUUAGAAUUUAGGAGCAGUAAUAUAAAGAUUCGUGAGAUGAGCCGGGCGCGGUGGCUCACGCCUGUAAUCCCAGCACUUUGGGAGGCCGAGGCGGGUGGAUCACGAGGUCAAGAGAUCAAGACCAUCCUGGUCAACAUGGUGAAACCCCGUCUCUACUAAAAAUACCAAAAAUUAGCUGGGCAUGGUGGCCCGUGCCUGUAAUCCCAGCUACUCGGGAGGCUGAGGCAGGAGAAUUGCUUGAACCCAGGAGGUGGAGGUUGCGGUGAGCCGAGAUGGCGCCAUUGCACUCCAGCCUGGGUAACAAGAGCGAAACUCCGUCUCAAAAAAAAAAAAAAAAAGAUUUGUGAGAUGAAACUCAUACAUCCAGAGAAACUACUUACACUUGGCAUAGCGUUACUAGAUUUAGCUAAUAAAAAUGCAAGUACAGGACACCCAGAGUGAGACAUACUUACACUAAUAUAGAGGAAGGAAACGAAACAGAGCAAAGCACUUCCUCUACUCUACUGCUUGAGGCACCUUGGACCUGGAAAUCGACUGACCAGACAGAUUAACAACAGAAAAAGACAGUUUUGAGAAAGUUUUGAAAAAAAACAAAACAAAACAAAAAAAAACUCCAAAAAGCACUUUGGAGGCCAAGGCGGGCGGAUCACCUGAUGUCGGGAGUUCAAGACCAGCCUGACCAACAUGGUGAAACCCUGUCUUUAUUAAAAAAAGAAAAGAAAAGAAAAAAGCAGAGAAGGGGUUUCACAAAACUGGGCAGGAUGGUCUCAAACUCCCGACCUUGUGAUCCGCCAGCCUCAUCCUCCCAAAGUGUUAAGACAGGCGUGAGCCACCGCACCCAGCCAAAAGACAGUUUUCAUUAUAUCCACAGUGGCUGGCCAAAAUAUCUAUCAGGAUCUCCUGAGGUGGGGUCAGAGUUCAGGUUAGACAACAAACCCGGGGUUUGGGCUUUUGGAGCGCAGUGAGCGGUGGGAAGGUAACCAGGAAGUGUAUGGUGAACCAGGUCAUCAGGAAAUGUGCCACGUAGGCCAGGCACAGUGGCUCACACCUGUCAUCUGUGAAAGUCCAGACAGAGAAGACAAAGAGACCAAUGAUGACCGAAGAGAACUUUAAUUUGGGCGCCCGGGCCAGCAGCAGGCUCACGGUUAUAAUGGCCACCGACAGCAACAAAGCAGCAGUUUAGCUUAUAUGCGGUUUGAGGCAGGAGGCGGGUUUUACAAUCGUGGGCUUCGUGGUCAUUUAACUCUAUGACCUUGCAGCUGAGGUAAGGGGUCGAAACACUGGGGAGCACACCCAGGGAGAUGAGAGGAACAGGAAAUGCAGAAGCAUGUUGGGGCGCAGACCCUCUCUCUACAUAGAUAAGACCCAAGACGUGCUCCAGGCUCUCAUCUAUGUAGAGAGAGGGUGGUGCCAGGUCUGCUUUGCCUUUGCUUUUUUCCUAAUGCAGCUUAUAAUCUAGCCCAGAAUGCAAGAUAAGCUUGCAGCUUCACCAGGGAGAGGUUACUUAAAUUCCUUACCUUUGUACAACCCUUAAAUGGCCUUUACUUCAAGUUUAACUACUACCUAUGUUAUGCUUAUUAUUUAAACUAUAGUUUGUGCUAUUUUAUUUCAUUUUAUUUUCCUUCCACAAAAGAAAAUUCAAUCUUGAACUGAGCACCAUGGCUCAUGCCUAUAAUCCCAGUACUUUGGGAGGCUGAGGCGGGCAGAUCACACGGUUAGGAGAUCAAGACCAGCCUGGACCAACAUGGUGAAACCACGUCUCUACCAAAAAUACAAAAAUUAGCCGGGUGUGGUGGUGGGUGCCUGUAAUCUCAGCUACUAGGGAGGCUGAGGCGGGAGAAUCUCUUGAACCUGGGAGGCAGAGGUUGCAGUGAGCAAAGAUGGGGCCAUUGUACUCCAGCCUGGGUGACAGAGCAAGACUCCAUCUCAAAAAAAUAAAAAUAAUAAUAAAAUAAAUCUUGAGACCCCAAACUCAGUAAGCCAAAGGAAGAAGUCAGGCUGGGAAUCGGGUCAUGCAAACCCGCCUCCCCUCUUGGUUUCUAAAUAAGAUGGCAACAAGAUGUAAAGCUACACGCCUCCCCAAUAUUUUGCCCAUGAGGACAUUCCUAGUGAGCUCCAAGAUCUUCACCCUCAGGUGUUUCUGUUCAGGUUUCUCCAUGGCAAUGUAAGUGGAUGGCUCAUCCUUCCAGGUGCAGUCACCCCGGCCCAUCAGACACGAGUGCAUACCACCUGAUUAUUGCUCCCCAGCCCCAUUCUGUCCCUGUCAUCUUAAGUGCAGAUCCCCGUAUUUUACCUCUGCCCCAUUUGUCUUUGUGAUCUUAUGUAAAAAUAUGGAUUCACUGAGCCAGACAAAGACAUGAAUGACUAUUUUUCCCAACCUUCCUCUUGCACAAAAAUUGUGCACUUUUCAAUAUCCUGUUUUUCCUUCUUUAAAUUUGGAGCCCUCAAAAUCAUCUUCAGAGAAAGCCUGAGACCUGUCUCCUGGGUGCACAUGCUUAACUUUGGCAAAUAAACCUGCUCAGGUGA
Non-coding RNA from Callithrix jacchus (white-tufted-ear marmoset), 6733 nucleotides. The record is from RefSeq and is a predicted model, not a curated record. Lineage: Eukaryota; Metazoa; Chordata; Mammalia; Primates; Cebidae.